This 452-nucleotide ribosomal RNA is filed under the name uncultured bacterium. RNAcentral describes it as "bacterial SSU rRNA". It matches the Rfam family "Bacterial small subunit ribosomal RNA", at positions 355 to 799 of the family's 1533-position model. The record is from RNAcentral.
UGGGGAAUUUUGGACAAUGGGCGAAAGCCUGAUCCAGCCAUGCCGCGUGUGUGAAGAAGGUCUUCGGAUUGUAAAGCACUUUAAGUUGGGAGGAAGGGCAGUAAGUUAAUACCUUGCUGUUUUGACGUUACCGACAGAAUAAGCACCGGCUAACUCUGUGCCAGCAGCCGCGGUAAUACAGAGGGUGCAAGCGUUAAUCGGAAUUACUGGGCGUAAAGCGCGCGUAGGUGGUUUGUUAAGUUGGAUGUGAAAGCCCCGGGCUCAACCUGGGAACUGCAUCCAAAACUGGCAAGCUAGAGUACGGUAGAGGGUGGUGGAAUUUCCUGUGUAGCGGUGAAAUGCGUAGAUAUAGGAAGGAACACCAGUGGCGAAGGCGACCACCUGGACUGAUACUGACACUGAGGUGCGAAAGCGUGGGGAGCAAACAGGAUUAGAUACCCGCGUAGUCCCUG